Molecule: ribosomal RNA, 832 nt
Filed under: uncultured bacterium
Lineage: Bacteria
Description: bacterial SSU rRNA
Rfam family: Bacterial small subunit ribosomal RNA
Source: RNAcentral
CAGUCGAGCGAGAAGAGUAGCAAUACGUUUGUAAAGCGGCGAACGGGUGAGGAAUACAUGGGUAACCUACCCUAGAGUGGGGAAUAACUAGCCGAAAGGUUAGCUAAUACCGCGUACGCUCCUUGGACUUCGGUUCAGGGAGGAAAGCGCUACCGAGGGUAGCGCGCUCUUGGAUGGGCUCAUGUCCUAUCAGCUUGUUGGUGAGGUAACGGCUCACCAAGGCUUCGACGGGUAGCUGGUCUGAGAGGACGAUCAGCCACACUGGCACUGCGACACGGGCCAGACUCCUACGGGAGGCAGCAGUAAGGAAUAUUGCGCAAUGGGCGAAAGCCUGACGCAGCGACGCCGCGUGGGGGAUGAAGGUCUUCGGAUUGUAAACCCCUUUCGGGAGGGAAGAUGGAAUGGGGUAACCCAUUCGGACGGUACCUCCAGAAGCAGCCACGGCUAACUUCGUGCCAGCAGCCGCGGUAAUACGAAGGUGGCAAGCGUUAUUCGGAUUUACUGGGCGUACAGGGAGCGUAGGCGGUUCGGUAAGCCCUCUGUGAAAUCUCCAGGCUUAACCUGGAAAAGUCGGGGGGGACUGCUGGGCUAGAGGACGGGAGAGGAGCGCGGAAUUCCCGGUGUAGCGGUGAAAUGCGUAGAGAUCGGGAGGAAGGCCGGUGGCGAAGGCGGCGCUCUGGAACGUUUCUGACGCUGAGGCUCGAAAGCGUGGGGAGCAAACAGGAUUAGAUACCCUGGUAGUCCACGCCUUAAACUAUGAAUACUAAGUGUCGGCGGUUUACCGCCGGUGCCGCAGCUAACGCAUUAAGUAUUCCGCCUGGGAAGUACGGCC